UUUUUUUUUUGAGACGGAGUUUUGCUCUUGUUGGCCAGGCUGGAGUACAACGGUGCGAUCUUGGCUCACCGCAACCUCCGCCUCCUGGGUUCAAGUGAUUUUCUUGCCUCAGCCUCCCGAGUAGCUGGGAUUACAGGCAUGCACCACCACGCCAGGCUAAUUUUGUAUUUUUUAGUAGAGACAGGGUUUCUCCAUGUUGGUUAGGCUGGUCUCAAACUCCCAACCUCAGGUGAUCUGCCUGCCUUGGCCUUCCAAGGUUCUGGGAUUGCAGGCAUGAGCCACCACGCCUGGCCAAGUGUGAGGCAGGAGAAUGGCGUGAACCUAGGAGGCGGAGCUUGCAGUGAGCCGAGAUGGCGCCACUGCACUCCAGCAUGGGUGACAGAGCAAGACUGUCUCAAAAUGAGCCCAAGGUGGGUGGAUCACUUGAGGCCAGGAGCAGAGGUUGCAGUGAGCCGUGUUCUCGCCACUGAGCUCCAGCCUGGGUGACAGAGC
This 492-nucleotide small RNA is filed under the name Pongo abelii (Sumatran orangutan). RNAcentral's name for it is "retained intron". The record is from RNAcentral. Lineage: Eukaryota; Metazoa; Chordata; Mammalia; Primates; Hominidae.